CCUUGGAGAAGUUCUGGCUGAUUUGGGGGCUGAUCCUUGGAGAAGUUCUGGCUGACUUGGGAGCUGAUCCUUGGAGAAGUUCUGGCUGAUUUGCGAGCUGAUCCUUGGAGAAGUUCUGGUUGAUUUGGGAGCUGAUCCUUGGAGAAGUUCUGGUUGAUUUGGGAGCUGAAACUUGGAGAAGUUCUGGUUGAUUUGGGGGCUGAUCCUUGGAGAAGUUCUGGUUGACUUGGGGGCUGAUCCUUGGAGAAGUUCCGGGUGAUUUGGGGGCUGAUCCUUGGAGAAGUUCUGACUGAUUUGGGAGCUGAAACUUGGAGAAGUUCUGGUUGAUUUGGGGGCUGAUCCUUGGAGAAGUUCCGGGUGACUUGGGGGCUGAACCUUGGAGAAGUUCUGACUGAUGUGGGAGCUGAACCUUGGAGAAGUUCUGGUUGAUUUGGGAGCUGAACCUUGGAGAAGUUCUGGUUGAUUUGGGGGCUGAUCAUUGGAGAAGUUCUGGGUGAAUUGGGGGCUGAACCUUGGGGAAGUUCUGGCUGAUUUGGGAGCUGAACCUUGGAGAAGUUCUGGUUGAUUUGGGGGCUGAUCCUUGGAGAAGUUCCAGGUGAUUUGGGGGCUGAUCCUUGGAGAAGUUCUGACUGAUUUGGGAGCUGAAACUUGGAGAAGUUCUGGUUGAUUUGGGAGCUGAUCCUUGGAGAAGUUCUGGUUGAUUUGGGGGCUGAUCCUUGGAGAAGUUCUGACUGAUUUGGGAGCUGAAACUUGGAGAAGUUCUGGUUGAUUUGGGGGCUGAUCCUUGGAGAAGUUCUGACUGAUUUGGGAGCUGAAACUUGGAGAAGUUCCGGGUGACUUGGGGGCUGAACCUUGGAGAAGUUCUGACUGAUGUGGGAGCUGAACCUUGGAGAAGUUCUGGUUGAUUUGGGGGCUCAUCCUUGGAGAAGUUCUGACUGAUUUGGG
Molecule: long non-coding RNA, 945 nt
Filed under: Homo sapiens (human)
Lineage: Eukaryota; Metazoa; Chordata; Mammalia; Primates; Hominidae
Description: HSALNT0082833
Source: RNAcentral